This 214-nucleotide long non-coding RNA is filed under the name Rosa chinensis. RNAcentral describes it as "sRNA RchiOBHm_Chr2g0142691". Lineage: Eukaryota; Viridiplantae; Streptophyta; Magnoliopsida; Rosales; Rosaceae. The record is from RNAcentral.
CGACUGAUUGACUAGCUAGGUUUUCCUCUAUUUUUCCCCACACCGGCCGCGAUACAGAAACACCGCGACCGAUCGUCCUCUUUCACCCACACCGCGACCGAUCGUCCUCUUUCCCUACACCACGACCGAUCGUCCUCUUUCCCUACACCGCGAUCGUCCUCUUUCCCCCGUCCAGUAACCGACGACCUCUUUCGCCUUCUCUGGCUCCGAUGGC